AGUGAACGCUGGCGGUGGGCCUAACACAUGCAAGUCGAACGGCAGCACAGUAAGAGCUUGCUCUUACGGGUGGCGAGUGGCGGACGGGUGAGGAAUACAUCGGAAUCUACUUUUUCGUGGGGGAUAACGUAGGGAAACUUACGCUAAUACCGCAUACGACCUACGGGUGAAAGCAGGGGAUCUUCGGACCUUGCGCGAUUGAAUGAGCCGAUGUCGGAUUAGCUAGUUGGCGGGGUAAAGGCCCACCAAGGCGACGAUCCGUAGCUGGUCUGAGAGGAUGAUCAGCCACACUGGAACUGAGACACGGUCCAGACUCCUACGGGAGGCAGCAGUGGGGAAUAUUGGACAAUGGGCGCAAGCCUGACCCAGCCAUACCGCGUGGGUGAAGAAGGCCUUCGGGUUGUAAAGCCCUUUUGUUGGGAAAGAAAAGCAGCAGGUUAAUACCCCGCUGUUCUGACGGUACCCAAAGAAUAAGCACCGGCUAACUUCGUG
This 492-nucleotide ribosomal RNA is filed under the name uncultured bacterium. RNAcentral describes it as "partial 16S ribosomal RNA". It matches the Rfam family "Bacterial small subunit ribosomal RNA", at positions 29 to 507 of the family's 1533-position model. The record is from RNAcentral.